CCUACGGGUGGCAGCAGUGAGGAAUAUUGGUCAAUGGACGAGAGUCUGAACCAGCCAAGUAGCGUGAAGGAUGACUGCCCUAUGGGUUGUAAACUUCUUUUAUAUGGGAAUAAAAUGUUCCACGUGUGGGAUUUUGUAUGUACCAUAUGAAUAAGGAUCGGCUAACUCCGUGCCAGCAGCCGCGGUAAUACGGAGGAUCCGAGCGUUAUCCGGAGUUAUUGGGUUUAAGGGGAGCGUAGGUGGAUUGUUAAGUCAGUUGUGAAAGUUUGCGGCUCAACCGGAAAAUUGCAGUUGAAACUGGCAGUCUUGAGUACAGUAGAGGUGGGCUGAAUUCGUGGUGUAGCGGUGAAAUGCUUAGAUAUCACGAAGAACUCCGAUUGCGAAGGCAGUUCACUGGACUGCAACUGACACUGAGGCUCGAAAGUGUGGGUAUCAAACAGGAUUAGAUACCCCGGUAGUC
This 460-nucleotide ribosomal RNA is filed under the name uncultured bacterium. RNAcentral describes it as "partial 16S ribosomal RNA". It matches the Rfam family "Bacterial small subunit ribosomal RNA", at positions 338 to 795 of the family's 1533-position model. The record is from RNAcentral.